RNAcentral lists this ribosomal RNA (2931 nucleotides) under Escherichia coli. Its description in RNAcentral is "23S ribosomal RNA". It matches the Rfam family "Bacterial large subunit ribosomal RNA". Lineage: Bacteria; Pseudomonadati; Pseudomonadota; Gammaproteobacteria; Enterobacterales; Enterobacteriaceae. The record is from RNAcentral.
GGGUUGUGAGGUUAAGCGACUAAGCGUACACGGUGGAUGCCCUGGCAGUCAGAGGCGAUGAAGGACGUGCUAAUCUGCGAUAAGCGUCGGUAAGGUGAUAUGAACCGUUAUAACCGGCGAUUUCCGAAUGGGGAAACCCAGUGUGUUUCGACACACUAUCAUUAACUGAAUCCAUAGGUUAAUGAGGCGAACCGGGGGAACUGAAACAUCUAAGUACCCCGAGGAAAAGAAAUCAACCGAGAUUCCCCCAGUAGCGGCGAGCGAACGGGGAGGAGCCCAGAGCCUGAAUCAGUGUGUGUGUUAGUGGAAGCGUCUGGAAAGGCGCGCGAUACAGGGUGACAGCCCCGUACACAAAAAUGCACAUGCUGUGAGCUCGAUGAGUAGGGCGGGACACGUGGUAUCCUGUCUGAAUAUGGGGGGACCAUCCUCCAAGGCUAAAUACUCCUGACUGACCGAUAGUGAACCAGUACCGUGAGGGAAAGGCGAAAAGAACCCCGGCGAGGGGAGUGAAAAGAACCUGAAACCGUGUACGUACAAGCAGUGGGAGCACAGAGCAAUCUGUGUGACUGCGUACCUUUGUAUAAUGGGUCAGCGACUUAUAUUCUGUAGCAAGGUUAACCGAAUAGGGGAGCCGAAGGGAAACCGAGUCUUAACUGGGCGUUAAGUUGCAGGGUAUAGACCCGAAACCCGGUGAUUCAGCCAUGGGCAGGUUGAAGGUUGGGUAACACUAACUGGAGGACCGAACCGACUAAUGUUGAAAAAUUAGCGGAUGACUUGUGGCUGGGGGUGAAAGGCCAAUCAAACCGGGAGAUAGCUGGUUCUCCCCGAAAGCUAUUUAGGUAGCGCCUCGUGAAUUCAUCUCCGGGGGUAGAGCACUGUUUCGGCAAGGGGGUCAUCCCGACUUACCAACCCGAUGCAAACUGCGAAUACCGGAGAAUGUUAUCACGGGAGACACACGGCGGGUGCUAACGUCCGUCGUGAAGAGGGAAACAACCCAGACCGCCAGCUAAGGUCCCAAAGUCAUGGUUAAGUGGGAAACGAUGUGGGAAGGCCCAGACAGCCAGGAUGUUGGCUUAGAAGCAGCCAUCAUUUAAAGAAAGCGUAAUAGCUCACUGGUCGAGUCGGCCUGCGCGGAAGAUGUAACGGGGCUAAACCAUGCACCGAAGCUGCGGCAGCGACACUGUGUGUUGUUGGGUAGGGGAGCGUUCUGUAAGCCUGUGAAGGUGUGCUGUGAGGCAUGCUGGAGGUAUCAGAAGUGCGAAUGCUGACAUAAGUAACGAUAAAGCGGGUGAAAAGCCCGCUCGCCGGAAGACCAAGGGUUCCUGUCCAACGUUAAUCGGGGCAGGGUGAGUCGACCCCUAAGGCGAGGCCGAAAGGCGUAGUCGAUGGGAAACAGGUUAAUAUUCCUGUACUUGGUGUUACUGCGAAGGGGGGACGGAGAAGGCUAUGUUGGCCGGGCGACGGUUGUCCCGGUUUAAGCGUGUAGGCUGGUUUUCCAGGCAAAUCCGGAAAAUCAAGGCUGAGGCGUGAUGACGAGGCACUACGGUGCUGAAGCAACAAAUGCCCUGCUUCCAGGAAAAGCCUCUAAGCAUCAGGUAACAUCAAAUCGUACCCCAAACCGACACAGGUGGUCAGGUAGAGAAUACCAAGGCGCUUGAGAGAACUCGGGUGAAGGAACUAGGCAAAAUGGUGCCGUAACUUCGGGAGAAGGCACGCUGAUAUGUAGGUGAAGUCCCUCGCGGAUGGAGCUGAAAUCAGUCGAAGAUACCAGCUGGCUGCAACUGUUUAUUAAAAACACAGCACUGUGCAAACACGAAAGUGGACGUAUACGGUGUGACGCCUGCCCGGUGCCGGAAGGUUAAUUGAUGGGGUCAGCGCAAGCGAAGCUCUUGAUCGAAGCCCCGGUAAACGGCGGCCGUAACUAUAACGGUCCUAAGGUAGCGAAAUUCCUUGUCGGGUAAGUUCCGACCUGCACGAAUGGCGUAAUGAUGGCCAGGCUGUCUCCACCCGAGACUCAGUGAAAUUGAACUCGCUGUGAAGAUGCAGUGUACCCGCGGCAAGACGGAAAGACCCCGUGAACCUUUACUAUAGCUUGACACUGAACAUUGAGCCUUGAUGUGUAGGAUAGGUGGGAGGCUUUGAAGUGUGGACGCCAGUCUGCAUGGAGCCGACCUUGAAAUACCACCCUUUAAUGUUUGAUGUUCUAACGUGGACCCGUGAUCCGGGUUGCGGACAGUGUCUGGUGGGUAGUUUGACUGGGGCGGUCUCCUCCUAAAGAGUAACGGAGGAGCACGAAGGUUGGCUAAUCCCUGGUCGGACAUCAGGAGGUUAGUGCAAUGGCAUAAGCCAGCUUGACUGCGAGCGUGACGGCGCGAGCAGGUGCGAAAGCAGGUCAUAGUGAUCCGGUGGUUCUGAAUGGAAGGGCCAUCGCUCAACGGAUAAAAGGUACUCCGGGGAUAACAGGCUGAUACCGCCCAAGAGUUCAUAUCGACGGCGGUGUUUGGCACCUCGAUGUCGGCUCAUCACAUCCUGGGGCUGAAGUAGGUCCCAAGGGUAUGGCUGUUCGCCAUUUAAAGUGGUACGCGAGCUGGGUUUAGAACGUCGUGAGACAGUUCGGUCCCUAUCUGCCGUGGGCGCUGGAGAACUGAGGGGGGCUGCUCCUAGUACGAGAGGACCGGAGUGGACGCAUCACUGGUGUUCGGGUUGUCAUGCCAAUGGCACUGCCCGGUAGCUAAAUGCGGAAGAGAUAAGUGCUGAAAGCAUCUAAGCACGAAACUUGCCCCGAGAUGAGUUCUCCCUGACCCUUUAAGGGUCCUGAAGGAACGUUGAAGACGACGACGUUGAUAGGCCGGGUGUGUAAGCGCAGCGAUGCGUUGAGCUAACCGGUACUAAUGAACCGUGAGGCUUAACCUUACAACGCCGAAGGUGUUU